Nylanderia fulva is the source of this 828-nucleotide long non-coding RNA. RefSeq lists it as uncharacterized. The record is from RefSeq and is a predicted model, not a curated record. Lineage: Eukaryota; Metazoa; Arthropoda; Insecta; Hymenoptera; Formicidae.
UUAAAACAGAUUAAUAAGAAUAAAAAAUUCAUUACUCUCUGUCAAGAUUAUUUACACAUAAAAACACAUAUAAAUAUGUUUAUGUUUUAUUGUUCUAGCACUUCUGGAAAUAAAUAUAUUUUGUAGAUAUUUGACAUUCCAGUUAAUUAAUUUAUAACCAUUAGUAAAGCUUAGAAGAACUGGUAAGGAUAAUCGGCGUGAGAAGACAAGACAGGAACUUGACGAAGGCAAACACCACACUGCCAGGAAUAGAUAGACCGACGGAUCAGAAUCGUCGUACGUCGACGAGAAGACCUCGUGGUAGUGUAAUGUGCAUUUGCUAACGCACAAACACGUGGAUCUCAUUUCAGAUUGAGUUUAACUACUCGAUUAAGCAUGACACCCCAUAUGGAAGAUGCAUGCGUGAGGAUAUAAUUAAAUAUCUGAUACAAAUUGCAUGUACUAUACAAAUAUUCAGCAUAUCAACAUAUAGACUAGAGUGUAGUGCAAAGUGUAACAUAAUGUGCAAAUAAAUUUGCUUAUUCUUAGUUGAUUUCAUGACUUACAGCUUUUUUCUCUUCCUCUUCACUUUUAGUAAAAAUGUGUUAAAGAAAGGCAUGAUUUUGUAUGGUAACACAAAACACAAGGGAGCGUCUAACUUCAACUACCCUUCGUGCCGGACUAAAUGUGAGAAAGAGACCUUUGGAAAAAUCAAUACCGUUACAAUCAUGUGGCAGGACAUGCCAUAUACAGAAAAUAUGAAGUUUCGAUCUAACAAGCAGAAGCAUGAAUCAUGAAUAUCUAUCAUGAAUGCAAAAAGUUAAUUAUACUAUGCUGUGAUUACGAAGA